UAUUAUAUGGUGUAGUAUGCACAAUAAAUUUUGAAUUUUUAGGAUUAGAUUAAUUUUCUUGUUCUAC
This 67-nucleotide transfer RNA is filed under the name Scolopendra dehaani. Its description in RNAcentral is "tRNA-Gln". Lineage: Eukaryota; Metazoa; Arthropoda; Chilopoda; Scolopendromorpha; Scolopendridae. The record is from RNAcentral.